AAGUCGAACGGAAAUCUUUUAGAUUUUAGUGGCGAAAGGGUGAGUAACACGUAAGCAACCUGCCUUUAAGACGAGAAUAACAAUUGGAAACAGUUGCUAAGGCUGGAUAGGAAAUAAAAAGGAAUCUUUUUAUUUUUAAAAGACCCUUUUCGGAAGGUAUGCUUAAAGAGGGGCUUGCGUCACAUUAGUUAGUUGGUAGGGUAAAGGCCUACCAAGACGAUGAUGUGUAGCUGGACUGAGAGGUUGAACAGCCACAUUGGGACUGAGACACGGCCCAAACUCCUACGGGAGGCAGCAGUAGGGAAUUUUCGGCAAUGGAGGAAACUCUGACCGAGCAACGCCGCGUGAACGACGAAGUACUUCGGUAUGUAAAGUUCUUUUAUUGAAGAAGAAACAAUAGUGGAAAAACUAUCUUGACGUUAUUCAAUGAAUAAGCCCCGGCUAACUAUGUGCCAGCAGCCGCGGUAAUACAUAGGGGGCGAGCGUUAUCCGGAAUUAUUGGGCGUAAAGGGUGCGUAGGCGGUUUAAUAAGUCUCUAGUUUAAUUUCAACGCUUAACGUUGUCCUGCUAGAGAAACUGUUUAACUAGAGUGAGAUAGAGGUAAGCGGAAUUCCAUGUGUAGCGGUAAAAUGUGUAAAUAUAUGGAGGAACACCAGAGGCGUAGGCGGCUUACUGGGUCUUUACUGACGCUGAUGCACGAAAGCGUGGGGAGCAAA
This 716-nucleotide ribosomal RNA is filed under the name Coconut lethal yellowing phytoplasma. Its description in RNAcentral is "bacterial SSU rRNA". It matches the Rfam family "Bacterial small subunit ribosomal RNA", at positions 59 to 772 of the family's 1533-position model. The record is from RNAcentral. Lineage: Bacteria; Bacillati; Mycoplasmatota; Mollicutes; Acholeplasmatales; Acholeplasmataceae.